RNAcentral lists this ribosomal RNA (844 nucleotides) under uncultured bacterium. RNAcentral describes it as "bacterial SSU rRNA". It matches the Rfam family "Bacterial small subunit ribosomal RNA", at positions 32 to 893 of the family's 1533-position model. The record is from RNAcentral.
GACGCUGGCGGCGUGCUUAACACAUGCAAGUCGAACGAUGAAGCCUAGCUUGCUAGGUGGAUUAGUGGCGCACGGGUGAGUAAUAUAUAGAUAACGUGCCUCUUAGUCUGGGAUAGCCAUYGGAAACGAUGAUUAAUACUGGAUACUCCUACUAACUCUAAUGUUAGUUGGGAAAGUUUUUCGCUAAGAGAUCGGUCUAUAUCCCAUCAGUUAGUUGGUAGUGUAAGAGACUACCAAGGCAAUGACGGGUAGCGGGUUUGAGAGGAUGAUCCGCCACACUGGUACUGAGACACGGACCAGACUCCUACGGGAGGCAGCAGUGAGGAAUAUUGCACAAUGGAGGAAACUCUGAUGCAGCAACGCCGCGUGGAGGAUGACGCAUUUCGGUGUGUAAACUCCUUUUAUAGGUCAAGAAAAUGACGGUAGCCUAUGAAUAAGCACCGGCUAACUCCGUGCCAGCAGCCGCGGUAAUACGGAGGGUGCAAGCGUUAUUCGGAAUCACUGGGCGUAAAGGACACGUAGGCGGGAAGCCAAGUCUGAUGUGAAAUCCUACAGCUUAACUGUAGAACUGCAUUGGAAACUGGUUACCUAGAGUAUGGGAGGGGGAGAUGGAAUUAGUGGGUGUUAAGGGGUAAAAUCCGUAGAUAUCACUAGGAAUACCUAAAGCGAARGCGAUCUCCUGGAACAAUACUGACGCUAAKGUGUGAAAGCGUGGGGAGCAAACGGGAUUAGAUACCCCGGUAGUCCACGCCCUAAACGAUGUUCACUAGUCGUCGGGAUGCUAGUCAUCUCGGUGAUGCACUUAACAGAUUAAGUGAACCGCCUGGGGAGUACGGUCGCAAGA